CGCGGAGUGGAGCAGCUGGUAGCUCGCCAGGCUCAUAACCUGGAGGUCGGCGGUCCGAAUCCGUCCUCCGCUA
This 73-nucleotide transfer RNA is filed under the name Caudoviricetes sp. RNAcentral's name for it is "tRNA-Met". It matches the Rfam family "tRNA". From Rfam's summary of the family: Transfer RNA (tRNA) molecules are approximately 80 nucleotides in length. Their secondary structure includes four short double-helical elements and three loops (D, anti-codon, and T loops). The record is from RNAcentral. Lineage: Duplodnaviria; Heunggongvirae; Uroviricota; Caudoviricetes.